RNAcentral lists this ribosomal RNA (429 nucleotides) under Bacteroidota bacterium. RNAcentral describes it as "Bacteroidetes bacterium partial 16S ribosomal RNA". It matches the Rfam family "Bacterial small subunit ribosomal RNA", at positions 355 to 776 of the family's 1533-position model. The record is from RNAcentral. Lineage: Bacteria; Pseudomonadati; Bacteroidota.
UGGGGAAUCUUGCGCAAUGGACGCAAGUCUGACGGAGCCACGCCGCGUGAGUGAAGAAGGACUUCGGUUCGUAAAACUCUGUUGGUAGAGAAGAACAGCGCUUAGAGUAACCGUUAUGCGUGUGACGGUAUCUAACCAGAAAGCCACGGCUAACUACGUGCCAGCAGCCGCGGUAAUACGUAGGUGGCAAGCGUUGUCCGGAUUUAUUGGGCGUAAAGCGAGCGCAGGCGGUCAAUUAAGUCGGAUGUGAAAGCCCCCGGCUCAACCGGGGAGCUGCAUUGGAAACUGGUUGACUUGAGUACAGAAGAGGGGAGUGGAAUUCCAUGUGUAGCGGUGAAAUGCGUAGAUAUAGGAAGGAACACCAGUGGCGAAGGCGACUCCCUGGUCUGUAACUGACGCUGAGGCUCGAAAGCGUGGGUAGCAAACAGG